GACAGAGGAUGCAAGCGUUAUCCGGAAUGAUUGGGCGUAAAGCGUCUGUAGGUGGCUUUUUAAGUCCGCCGUCAAAUCCCAGGGCUUCAACCCUGGACAGGCGGUGGAAACUACCAAGCUGGAGUACGGUAGGGGCAGAGGGAAUUUCCGGUGGAGCGGGUGAAAAUGCGUAGAGAUCGGAAAGAACACCAACGGCGAAAGCAACUCUGCUGGGCCGACACUGACACUGAGAGACGAAAGCUAGGGGAGCGAAUGGGA
RNAcentral lists this ribosomal RNA (258 nucleotides) under uncultured bacterium. RNAcentral describes it as "partial 16S ribosomal RNA". It matches the Rfam family "Bacterial small subunit ribosomal RNA", at positions 524 to 777 of the family's 1533-position model. The record is from RNAcentral.